GCGCCGGCAGUGGAGUUCUCGGAACUCAUGGCGUGGACGGACGGAUCUGAUGGAUCCAGUGGCCGCAAUUCUAAUUCAUUGUUUUGAUAGUU
Neltuma alba is the source of this 92-nucleotide long non-coding RNA. RefSeq lists it as uncharacterized. NCBI's taxonomy places the organism in Eukaryota, Viridiplantae, Streptophyta, Magnoliopsida, Fabales, Fabaceae. The transcript is spliced from 4 exons. The record is from RefSeq and is a predicted model, not a curated record.